Long non-coding RNA from Oxyura jamaicensis (ruddy duck), 627 nucleotides. RefSeq lists it as uncharacterized. The record is from RefSeq and is a predicted model, not a curated record. Lineage: Eukaryota; Metazoa; Chordata; Aves; Anseriformes; Anatidae. The transcript has 3 exons.
UGUGGUCAUACAGGUGCUCCUGUUUCCCUGGUUCACAACCGGUCUGAGACACGAUAUUUUCAGUGAUUCAGUCCCUCAAGUCUGCAGUUAGAGCCAAGAGAGCUUGGAUUUUGAACCUAAGUUGCUGAAUUCAAUUUAAAAUCCUGUGGGUUUGGAGUAGACUGCAUUAAAGAAGCCCCGUUCUGUGUCCUGCUCACCUUAUCCUCGUCACAGGGACACAGCUUGUGCUGCCGGUGCUGGGUCUGCUGUGCUGCCUGUGAAGGAGCCUGGUAUGCAAGACAAUUUCCAGCUCAAGUUAAGACCCGGCAGGGAAAAAACAUCUCGUCAGUGGCCUUUUUGAGAACAGAGAUCACCAGCGUAGCGUCGGUGCUGCUGCCUCCAACACCUCUCGUCUCUUCAGUCUGUUCCCAAUGCAGAGGAGAUUCCUGGAAGGCAGACCAUGUCCCAGUGGUGCACAGCGUGCAUUUCCCCCGCCAUCAGCUCGCGUCUGGGACCUGCACCUUCAGCUUCCCAGUACCUCUGUGCUUCCACCCCGGCUCCAUGCCUGUGAGUCAGAUGCUGGCCAUUGCAUGACCUUCUUUGCCAGAUCCCCCAUAGCAGGGGAUAUUUUAAACUUACUCCUAAUGA